Molecule: ribosomal RNA, 210 nt
Filed under: uncultured bacterium
Lineage: Bacteria
Description: partial 16S ribosomal RNA
Rfam family: Bacterial small subunit ribosomal RNA
Source: RNAcentral
AGUUCAGAUUGCAGGCUGCAACCCGCCUGCAUGAAGUCGGAAUUGCUAGUAAUCGCGGAUCAGCAUGCCGCGGUGAAUACGUUCCUGGGCCUUGUACACACCGCCCGUCACACCAUGGGAGCCGGUAAUACCCGAAGUCAGUAGUCCAACCUCGUGAGGACGCUGCCGAAGGUAGGAUUGGCGACUGGGGUGAAGUCGUAACAAGGUACC